AGUUUCAUCCCGAUACGGGACGAUUGAUGCCCGAGAUGAACACGCUGCUAGGUAUUAUUCUUCCCGAGGACCGAAGCGGCUGGCGUCGGGUUCUGUGGCACUUUCAGCGUCACACCCGGCUGGACGGAGCGCGGCCCGCCGAUGCUUUUCAGAAGAAUCCACAGGCCGUCAUCAACGCCGUUCGCAGCGAUUUCGGAUCGAGCGAUGAGCGGUGGUAGGGCGGGCGAGAGGGAACUUGGCGACCGAACCCUUGGUGCCGGACACCUUGCGUUCGGAUUGGGUGAUACCCACAGACCCGUGGUCGAGCGAUUGACUGAAAGACGUUCAGAAGGCGUUU
RNAcentral lists this unclassified non-coding RNA (337 nucleotides) under uncultured bacterium. RNAcentral's name for it is "contains 16S-23S intergenic spacer region". The record is from RNAcentral.